UCCGUAGGUGAACCUGCGGAAGGAUCAUUGAAUCCAUCCACAUCCACACGCGAACUUAUCCAGUACCCCUGGCGCGGCCGCAAGGCCAAACCAGCGGCCGGGUCUCGGCCCGACCGGGCUGGGCGGGGUCUUUUCCCCGACCAGUCGGCAACCUGUAUACACACCCAACCAAUCAGUACCCUGAAGCAAAGGCUCGCUGCUCCCAGAGCGCGACACCUAACUGAGACAACUCUCAACAACGGAUAUCUUGGCUCUCGCAACGAUGAAGAACGCAGCGAAAUGCGAUACGUAGUGUGAAUUGCAGAAUUCCGUGAAUCAUCGAAUCUUUGAACGCAUAUUGCGGUCGAGGCUUCGGCCAAGACCAUGUCUGCCUCAGCGUCGGAGUAAACCCUCACCCCUCCACCUAGUGGUCAACCACAAAGGUGGCGGGCGUGGACCUGGCCUCCCCAGCGAUCGUCUGAUCACUGGGCUGGCUGAAAUGCAGAGGUACGCGCACGGACCUGUAUGGGGGCACCAGGCAAGGGGGUAGGGGGUAGGCUCGGUCUACUCCAGCUGGGGCGGCUUUGGGGGGCCCGGCUGGCCGGCACCCGGCAGGGGGAACCCCACUCCUUAUCGACCUGAGAUCAGGCAAGGCUACCCACUGAACCUUAAGCAUAUCAAUAAGCGGA
RNAcentral lists this ribosomal RNA (668 nucleotides) under uncultured fungus. RNAcentral's name for it is "eukaryotic LSU rRNA". The stretch from base 228 to 381 matches the Rfam family "5.8S ribosomal RNA". The record is from RNAcentral. Lineage: Eukaryota; Fungi.